UACAGAGGUCUCAAGCGUCGUUCGGAUUCAUUGGGCGUAAAGGGUGCGUAGGUGGCGCUGUAAGUCGGGUGUGAAAUUUCGAGGCUUAACCUCGAAACUGCAUUCGAUACUGCGGUGCUUGAGGACUGGAGAGGAGACUGGAAUUCAUGGUGUAGCAGCGAAAUGCGUAGAGAUCAUGAGGAAGACCAGUGGCGAAGGCGGGUCUCUGGACAGUUCCUGACACUGAGGCACGAAGGCCAGGGGAGCAAACGGG
RNAcentral lists this ribosomal RNA (253 nucleotides) under uncultured bacterium. RNAcentral's name for it is "partial 16S ribosomal RNA". It matches the Rfam family "Bacterial small subunit ribosomal RNA", at positions 524 to 776 of the family's 1533-position model. The record is from RNAcentral.